CAUUGCAUUCUCACUCGGUCCCUUUUAUUGGCCACAAGAUCUGGACUACAGCGCCAUCUCUUGACCAUUUCAGAACACAACACACUGAACGCCCGAUGAUCGCCUGGAGCUCGCUCUCCGAAAGCGUCUGAGCAAAUGUUCAAAUCUUUAUUAAGCGAGCGCAUAUUUGAACUAAAAACAGAUACAUUCUCGCAUGAACAACUCUUAAAGCUACAUUUCAAGACCAAAUAACAGUAUUGUGUGCCUUUUACUGCGCUACGCAUGAAACACAGCUGUCAUAUAUGGACUAGAUUUGUCUUAAUUACUUCAGCAGACAUUCCCCGCUUCCUUAAUUGAAUGUUUUUCAAAUAUAUUUAUGCUAACUUAAAAUAAGACGUCUUCGUCUCAGUAUCGCUGCGGAGAUGGGCACUAGAUGGCGCCAUUGGUCAUACAACUUUGUCUACUAAACUCAUUUCAGACAUUUAAGCAUCCGCCUUCAGAUCAGAAGUUUUUUGAAAUAAUGAGAAACGUUUCACUCAAGUGUCCAAACACUUUUGACCGGUGCUAUUCUUAUUAGGCUUGUUCGAGUUGACCCACACUAGCCUGCCACCGACUGGCGAGAUCAGCCGAUUGCUGGCGAGACAAGAGCCGUCACAUCGGACACUUCCUGCUUCCCAUAGGGAGCUGAACCUACAGCAGACCACGUGAUAUUCAUCGGCGCUCGCUCUGCAUUGUGAGGCUGGGGACGGGAGCCAAUCGCGUCGCGGAAUGAGAAUGGACACGGCCACUCAGCGCGAUCACACCCUUUGAGAGAUUGGAUGACGAGCGCAGGUAGCGGAUAAAUCAGCAAACAGCCUGCCCCUGCCGCUCAGUCUCCUGCUGAACCUCCACAGUCUGGGUCUUCAGAAACGGCUCCUGCCCCACGAUCAUUCCUGAGGCCUCCUCCAACUUUGUCAAUGUCACACUUUGGCGGCUCCCAGUUGGCUUCACUGAAGCCCAAUUUAGUAGAUCGGAAGCCCUCUCCUUCUUCAUCCUCUUUGAGGCUCCCCACCCCAUCUCCUUCAUCUGUGAGGACCGCCACCCUCUCUCCAUCCUCUUUGAGGAGCCACAGUCCUGGUUCAUCCUCUGAGAGGCUGCUGUCUGUGUAUGGCAGGAACAUCCUCUCCUAAAUUGAUCAAAUGAAGGCCAGCAUCACAGUCAUCUUUGGUAAUAUCUUAAAGAUGGAUUCCACCAAGCAGGUAAUAAACAGUCAGACUAUGUUAUACACCAAGAUGUUCUCAAAUACUAACACACUGUAAGACCCUACCAGUCGUUUCUAACACUGUUGCCAGCUAGUUAUUGUAGCUCUUAUUGAGGUUUAAACGUUGAAUUGUUGUUAGUCAUUAUUAGUGUUUGUUUUAGUUGAGCUGUUGAAUCGUAUUAUUAAUGUGAAUUCUUCCUGAACGUGUGUUCUAAACAAUGUUACUUUAUGGUGGAAGAUUGUUGCGAAGUGGUGUGUCUCAAAUGAACGAUGUGCUUCAGCUUUAGUCGUUUACAAAAAGUGCUGAUCUGAUAAAUACACAAAAAUUCAACUAUUGCACUAGCAGUAUACACCGAGACAUCAGCAAUCCACACUUGAAUCUCGACAAUGGUGACAAUCAACUAAACCGCUUCAUGCUGCAAUGCUUGCUGUGCGCAUAGUUCAAAACUUAUCCAUGAUUGUUUUCCACCAUUAAUGAGGUUUGUUGGUCGAGUGUAUAAGUGUGCCUCAAUGGCCAAUAACUCAUAUUACAGAGAGCUUUCCAUCAGCUGGAACCAUAAAUGUUAAAUUAUGAUUUAAAUCAGAUGCAGUUUCAGCUAUGAGGCAAACAUUUAUAAAUUGAACAGCUUUUCAAUAUGAUUGAAUAAGUGUACGUUACAAAACACUAAUGCAGUUACUGAAAAAUAUGAAUCAAAUAGCAAUUCAAAAGACGGUCAAGGUUCAAGAGUCAAACCAAAGCACACACUGAUCACCAGCAUGGAUACUUCAACCAACAAUGGAAAUUCUGUGUUCAUUUGCUCACCUUCAAGAGUCUGCAUACAUUUCUUUGUUCUGAUGAAUACAGAGAAAGAUAUUUGGAAGAAUGCUUAUAAGAAAACAGAUCUCAACACCCAUUGACUACCAUAGAAAAACAUGUAUUUUCCAAAGAAGACGACAUUUUGAAGAAUGUAGGACAGCAAACAGUUCUGUCACUUAUGACUACUAUUGUAUUUUCAUAUUAUGGGAGUCAAUCGGAGGCUAAAUCUGUCUGGUUAUACAGUAAGCAUUCUUCCAAAUAUCUUUCACUGUGUUCAUCACAACAAAUACAUUCAUACAGAUUUGGAGCGACUCAAAAGUGAAAAUCUUAAUGAAACCAUUACGCACUAGAGUUUAACCUCUGUUAAAUCUCAAUAAGAGCUUUUGUAGAAGUAUGACAGAAAUAAAGUGAAAGUGGUGUCUGUAAUAAGUGAAAAUGUUAAUGGCGCUUGUAUGUUAUUCUCCUCUGGUGAGAUCUUGACAGAUUUAUGUGUUCAUCUGUUACUCACAGUUGAGGUUCAUCUAAGACCGUGUGACUUAAGUGAGUUAAAAGAUCAUUUAAUGAUGUAUCUUCAAACAGUCAUUGCAGUAGUUUACUGUAAAGACCUACAGUAACUGGAAGGCAAUAGUGUUGCCAAUGUAUUACUGUUGAAAUGGCUGGUAAGGUCUUGCGGAUAAACGUUAAUAUUGUUGUCAGCGGUAACAUUACAUCAUGAAUAUGUUGUUACUAGUGGUGGGCCGUUUUCAGUGAGACAUUUAUAAAUGAUAAAAAAAAUGUCGCCGUUAAUCUAUUCUCAAAGUUGGGUUGGGAGCUGGGUCUAUACUACGCAAGCUAUGAUGACUUUCACCUUGAUAUUUUAGCGCGGAUGUAUACCUAGCUUACUUGCACUGUAGGGGGCGAGAACGAGAUUUUCAACUCGCGUGAUUCGCGCCACCUCAUCAUCUCAUAACCAGGGCUUCAUUCGCGCGAUUCGCGCAGCAAGUAGGUCUAUUGGCUCUUUGCAUUAACAUAUAAAUCACUGCCGCUUGACGCGCCAUUCGCGUUUGGUCUGAACACAACAUAACGUUACUGUGAAAUUACCGCAUCAAACGUGACGUGCUAACAUGGAUGCAGCUAUGAAGCCGCCGGGUUUGAUUCAGGGAAUAUUAAUUUUUAAGAAGCUUCCCAAUAGAAACAUCGACAAGACUAAGGUUGUUUGCACCUUGUGCAAUGCGGAAUUGGUUUAAAAAAAAACUUUCUCUCAACAGGUAGUGGUCUAGCUUUAGUUGAAACCAGUAACUUUGUAUUGAGAUCUAAUGUAUUAUGGCUCCUGUAUGACAUAUCGCUUGUUGCUCCCUCACUCUUUGUAAGUCGCUUUGGAUAAAAGCGUCUGCUAAAUGACUAAAUGUAAAUGAACUGUAGGAGCUCUUCCAGUCUCAUGUACCACCUAAACGCAUAUCAUCCCUUAGCUUAUUGCGGAAGUAAACACAAGUUCAUCUUAUUGAACAUAAUUUAAUUUUCAUCACCAAUUAUCAUAGUAGAACAGCUUUCUCAAGCAGUUUGUGAUGCAUUUUGGAAACAAGAGAUGAGCCCCUGGUCUAAUGCGCCACCUGGCUUGAGAAACCCGUUCUCAAAGACUUACUUUUAGUCAUUAUUUGGGUAUCACACAUAUUCUGAAUGCCUUCGGCAGAAUUCAAAUGAGCCAUUUUAAUCUAGAUUAAAAAAAUUAAUCUAUGCCCACCACUAGUUGUUACAUUUGUAAA
Molecule: long non-coding RNA, 3757 nt
Organism: Triplophysa dalaica
Lineage: Eukaryota; Metazoa; Chordata; Actinopteri; Cypriniformes; Nemacheilidae
Exons: 4
Source: RefSeq, a predicted model, not a curated record